Molecule: ribosomal RNA, 434 nt
Filed under: uncultured Pseudobutyrivibrio sp.
Lineage: Bacteria; Bacillati; Bacillota; Clostridia; Lachnospirales; Lachnospiraceae
Description: partial 16S ribosomal RNA
Rfam family: Bacterial small subunit ribosomal RNA
Source: RNAcentral
ACGGAAGGCAGCAGUGGGGAAUAUUGCACAAUGGGGGAAACCCUGACGCAGCGACGCCGCGUGAGUGAUGAAGUAUUUCGGUAUGUAAAGCUCUAUCAGCAGGGAAGAUAAUGACGGUACCUGACUAAGAAGCACCGGCUAAAUACGUGCCAGCAGCCGCGGUAAUACGUAUGGUGCAAGCGUUAUCCGGAUUUACUGGGUGUAAAGGGAGCGUAGGCGGUACGGCAAGUCUGAAGUGAAAUCCCAGGGCUCAACCUUGGAACUGCUUUGGAAACUGUCGAACUAGAGUGUCGGAGAGGUAAGUGGAAUUUCUAGUGUAGCGGUGAAAUGCGUAGAUAUUAGGAGGAACACCAGUGGCGAAGGCGGCUUACUGGACGAUUACUGACGCUGAGGCUCGAAAGCGUGGGGAGCAAACAGGAUUAGAUACCCUGGUA